This 428-nucleotide ribosomal RNA is filed under the name uncultured prokaryote. RNAcentral's name for it is "bacterial SSU rRNA". It matches the Rfam family "Bacterial small subunit ribosomal RNA", at positions 355 to 774 of the family's 1533-position model. The record is from RNAcentral.
UGAGGAAUUUUGCGCAAUGGCCGCAAGGCUGACACAGCAACGCCGCGUGGGUGAUGAAGGCCUUCGGGUCGUAAAGCCCUGUCAGGUGGGAAGAAAGGCAUCUUUUCGAACAGGGGGGAUGUUUGACGGUACCACCAGAGGAAGCACCGGCUAACUCCGUGCCAGCAGCCGCGGUAAUACGGAGGGUGCGAGCGUUAUUCGGCAUUACUGGGCGUAAAGCGCGUGCAGGCGGGAAGGUAAGUCUGAUGUGAAAGCCCCGGGCUUAACCCGGGAAGUGCAUUGGAAACUGCUGUUCUUGAGUACUGGAGAGGAAGGGGGAAUUCCCGGUGUAGAGGUGAAAUUCGUAGAGAUCGGGAGGAAUACCAGUGGCGAAGGCGCCCUUCUGGACGGUUACUGACGCUGAGACGCGAAAGCGUGGGGAGCAAACA